GUUUUAAUAAUUUAUAUAUAAAAUAUUAAUUUUGUAAAUUAAAAUAAAGUUUUAAACUUUUAAAACU
This 67-nucleotide transfer RNA is filed under the name Plectrocnemia tsukuiensis. RNAcentral's name for it is "tRNA-Thr". Lineage: Eukaryota; Metazoa; Arthropoda; Insecta; Trichoptera; Polycentropodidae. The record is from RNAcentral.